GACGAACGCUGGCGGCGUGCUUAAUACAUGCAAGUCGAGCGAGGUCCAUCUGGUGGCAACACCAGUGAAGGCCGAGCGGCGAACGGGUGAGUAACACGUGAGCAACCUGCCCCGAAGUCUGGAAUAACAUCGGGAAACCGGUGCUAAUACCGGAUCGCCCCACCUGACCGCAUGAUCGGGUGAGGAAAGAUUUAUCGCUUCGGGAGGGGCUCGCGGCCUAUCAGCAGUUGGUGGGGUAACGGCCUACCAAGGCGUCGACGGGUAGCUGGUCUGAGAGGACGACCAGCCACACUGGGACUGAGACACGGCCCAGACUCCUACGGGAGGCAGCAGUAGGGAAUCUUGCGCAAUGGGCGAAAGCCUGACGCAGCAACGCCGCGUGGGGGAUGACGGCCUCGG
Molecule: ribosomal RNA, 399 nt
Filed under: uncultured bacterium
Lineage: Bacteria
Description: bacterial SSU rRNA
Rfam family: Bacterial small subunit ribosomal RNA
Source: RNAcentral